UUACUACUUUUAAAUAACUAAAUAAAAUUAUUAUUGUUUGUUUAUAUUAAGACCUAACAUCUAUUUGUUUAUGAUAGAUGUUAUAUUGAUCGAAUCGCAAUGUUAUAAUAUUUAUACUUUUAGUGCAGUCAGUGCCAAUCAAAAAAUAUGAGGUUCAAAUAUUUAUAUAAUGGAUCUUCAGUUUUAGUGUAGGCUUUUAGUGUAAACUAAAAAAUAUUUUUAAAAGUUUAAGUAUUAUUCAUACUCCUAUAUGAUAACCACUAAAGAGAAAAUAAAUUUACUUACCUCUGAUAUGAUAGAUUAUUAUAUUGUAUCAUUUAUUUUCUCUUUAGUAGAAAAGUUAACGUGGUUCGAACAAUAAUAUAGUUAUAUUACAUAGUUAUAUUAUAUUUCUAAAAUCUGCGCAAACAUUUUUUUUAUUGUUUAUUAAGUUUUGCAUGUUUAAUUUCAUUUAAUAUUUUAUCUACAGUCCAGUCAGUUGCAACAAUAAUUAAAGCAACAGGAAACAGCCAAGUACACAUGCAAGUGAUUGUUAUGAGGAUUGCAAAAGUUUUAAAUAUCAGAAACUGAAGAAGGUAUUGAUAAUCAGCAGAUAAUAAAAAAAGCAAAAGUACUGAUUAUUCAAAUCUUUUAAAGUUAAACCAUCACCACUUCCACAGCCACCUUGUCUCAAGCAUUCAAUCACAUUCUAAGAUAUCUUUAUUGAAAUUAAGUGUGACUACUUUACCAAAAGACUCUAGAAUGGACCAAUCAAUGAAACUGUCGGUAUCUCCACAACUUUUCAAUUAAAUAGAAAGUUUCAAUCAAACAGGAUACUGAGUGUGCCUACUGCUCCUCAAGACAAUGGAUAAUGGGAGUUAUCAAACUUGCGAUAACUACAAGUUUUUUUAAUAAGUAAAAAGAUUGUAUGACUUCGGUAUCCGCAAUAUGGUAUCGUGCAUUGGUUCUUAUCUUAGAAUGGCUCCCUUCCGUAUAGGUGAAAAUAAGAAAGGUUAUCAGUUCAAGCAAAGAUGACAAUGAUCAUUAUGGAGCCGAUCAUGGUGACGAAUACGAUAAUGCAUAUAAUGAUAAAUAAAAUAAUUUUACUUGUAUUUUAGACUUAUAUAAAUAAAAAAUUAUCUGUUUAAUGUUUAA
Hydra vulgaris (swiftwater hydra) is the source of this 1134-nucleotide long non-coding RNA. RefSeq lists it as uncharacterized. The record is from RefSeq and is a predicted model, not a curated record. Lineage: Eukaryota; Metazoa; Cnidaria; Hydrozoa; Anthoathecata; Hydridae.